UACAGAGGUCUCAAGCGUUGUUCGGAUUCAUUGGGCGUAAAGGGCGCGUAGGCGGCGGGGUAAGUCGGGGGUGAAAUCUCAGAGCUCAACUCUGAAACUGCACUCGAUACUGCUCUGCUUGAGGACUGGAGAGGAGACUGGAAUUCACGGUGUAGCAGUGAAAUGCGUAGAUAUCGUGAGGAAGACCAGUGGCGAAGGCGGGUCUCUGGACAGUUCCUGACGCUGAGGCGCGAAGGCCAGGGGAGCAAACGGG
This 253-nucleotide ribosomal RNA is filed under the name uncultured bacterium. Its description in RNAcentral is "partial 16S ribosomal RNA". It matches the Rfam family "Bacterial small subunit ribosomal RNA", at positions 524 to 776 of the family's 1533-position model. The record is from RNAcentral.